This 259-nucleotide long non-coding RNA is filed under the name Elaeis guineensis (African oil palm). RNAcentral describes it as "long non-coding RNA (EGUI_LNC056565)". Lineage: Eukaryota; Viridiplantae; Streptophyta; Magnoliopsida; Arecales; Arecaceae. The record is from RNAcentral.
CGCUCCUUUGCCUUCUGUAGUCUGUCUAUUAUCUGUUUAGGUAUUAUCUAUAGGUUUGACCUUUACUCCUCAAUUAUAAUCAUUUUGCUAUCAUUCUCCUGGAUUCUAGGCUGUUUGUUAUACGGUGCAUGUGGGCAGUAUCGUAUAGCUCAUAGUUUGCAUAUCCAUUCAUUCAUUACUUCUAUGUGUACGCACGUAGCCUAACCAUUUAAACAUAAUAUUUUUUUCUUUUAUAAAGGUAGAUAUGCCUUCAUUCGUA